UGGGAACGUACCUUUCGGUUCGGAAUAACCCGGGGAAACUCGGGCUAAUACCGGAUACGUCCGCAAGGAGAAAGAUUUAUCGCCGAAAGAUCGGCCCGCGUCGGAUUAGCUAGUUGGUGAGGUAACGGCCCACCAAGGCGACGAUCCGUAGCUGGUCUGAGAGGACGAUCAGCCACACUGGGACUGAGACACGGCCCAGACUCCUACGGGAGGCAG
RNAcentral lists this ribosomal RNA (216 nucleotides) under uncultured bacterium. Its description in RNAcentral is "partial 16S ribosomal RNA". It matches the Rfam family "Bacterial small subunit ribosomal RNA", at positions 118 to 351 of the family's 1533-position model. The record is from RNAcentral.